UCAUGAGACUGAAAGAAAUUUCAAAAGGGCCUUGUAUAUAUUUAUCAUCAGGUGUAUAAUGAGCGCAAAUGGCUGAACCUCUUCAAGAUGCAGUAUCCUCAAUUGUAAAAUUACAGUAAUAAAAUCCUUUUGCUCUGGGGAACACAAGCCACCAACCCAUGUGGACACAUCCAGUCUUUUGGAAAAAUCCCAUAUGCCACCAGUCAGCAAGAAUUUGACACUCAUGAGAGUGAGCUACCUUGGAAGAUCCUCCAGCCUUAGUCAAGACUCAGGAUGACUGUGGCUCCCACUGACCUAUGACUGACUACAUGAACCACCAAGUCAUGUUUUAAUUAAUGGUCUAUAUACUCUGUAAGAAACAAUAUGUACUGUUGUCUUAAACGAUUGAAUUUUGGCAUCAUU
Talpa occidentalis (Iberian mole) is the source of this 402-nucleotide long non-coding RNA. RefSeq lists it as uncharacterized. The transcript has 3 exons. Lineage: Eukaryota; Metazoa; Chordata; Mammalia; Eulipotyphla; Talpidae. The record is from RefSeq and is a predicted model, not a curated record.